UACAUCCAAAAGGAAUAAAUGGCUCUAGUUUCUAAGUUUGUUUCAGUUAUAAUUAUAUUUAUUUUCAUAAUUCUCCUUGCACUGAAUAUUGAAGGUACUUAUUUUUUAUUAUUAAUAAACUUCUUUCUUUAAUUCGUACAUUAUAUUUCAUCAUAUAUUAUUUAAGUUGUUUUAUUCUCUUUUUUACAGCGACUAGAUAUAAAUGUACAGAAGAUUCUGAUUUUAUAGGUCGUCUUGUUCGUUUUUCAAAAUCUUUAAAGUAGUUUGUAUUAAUAAACGGUGUCUACGUGUUAAAGUCAUCAUAGCUUAAAUUUCGGAAUGAUUUUUUAUUUAGUUUCAUAAUUAAGAUUUAUAUACGCUGAAAUAUUUCAGAAAUUGUCAUUUAAUAUUUGUAUUUCUAUGUAAUAAUUUAAAUAUAAUAAUACAUUGUCAUACUUCUAAGCAUAUUAGAAUGAUAUUACUCUUUUAAAAUAUUAAGAAAGGAA
Molecule: long non-coding RNA, 485 nt
Filed under: Lathyrus oleraceus (garden pea)
Lineage: Eukaryota; Viridiplantae; Streptophyta; Magnoliopsida; Fabales; Fabaceae
Description: Pisum sativum (pea) long non-coding RNA (PSAT_LNC021075)
Source: RNAcentral